Molecule: transfer RNA, 73 nt
Filed under: Anneissia japonica
Lineage: Eukaryota; Metazoa; Echinodermata; Crinoidea; Comatulida; Comatulidae
Description: tRNA-Ser
Rfam family: tRNA
About the family: Transfer RNA (tRNA) molecules are approximately 80 nucleotides in length. Their secondary structure includes four short double-helical elements and three loops (D, anti-codon, and T loops).
Source: RNAcentral
AGCUCGGUGGUCUAGUGGUUACGACGUCAGGCUAGAUACCUGAAGGUCGUGGGUUCGAUUCCCACCCGAAUCA